RNAcentral lists this long non-coding RNA (13277 nucleotides) under Citrus sinensis (sweet orange). RNAcentral's name for it is "long non-coding RNA (CSIN_LNC001043)". Lineage: Eukaryota; Viridiplantae; Streptophyta; Magnoliopsida; Sapindales; Rutaceae. The record is from RNAcentral.
GAUAUUAUUGCCAAACAUUUUUCAUCUUUAUUUAUUAUUAUUAUUUUUUGAACAGUUUAUCUUUAUCUUCUAAACACCCUUCAACACACAAAACUAAAUUCUGCGGCCAAUGUCGUCACACUUUCCUUCUUAACUGUUUGAGAGCAUCAUAAGUCCAAGGUUUUUCAAUUCGUCUUCAAUUUCUUCCCCCUUAAAACCAUUCUUGAGUCCAAAAGAGGAAGAUCAAUUUAGAUGAAUCGAGUAUUAUUUAUUCACUCUCUUUAUAAAGACGAGAUCUCCAUAGCUUCUGUUUCCUUCGGUCUUCAAGGUAUGUAUUUAUUUGGCUUCUUUAAUUUUCUUUUUCUUUUUCUUAGUUAUAUAAGUGUCUGUCUUUUAUGAUUUAUAUUCAUAUUGAUGAUGAAUCAUAUAUAUAAAUUAAAAAGAAAACUAAGCAAGUAUUGAAGCAGCUAGCCAUAUCUUAAUCUUGUACUGCCUUCUUUUUACUAUAAGGGUUUUUAUUUUUAUUUUCAUUUCUAUCGAGUAUUAAUUUAAAUAAAAAAAGGUAUAAGUCUAUGAAAGUGUAAUUCCCAUGGUAUCCAUAAAAUAGUAGAUUGAAUGUGGAUUAGUGUCAGAUCCGCAUCAAAUCUGCAGUGCAACGCAUGGAUUUAAUCAAUCCAUAAAAUGGUGAAUUUUUGUAAAUAAUCCACAAAAUCGGACAAUGUGGGACCACAUACAAUCCGAUAUUUUACAAAUUUGGAAAGUGCAGGAAAUUCUUUGUAAGGAUAAUUUUGUGGGCGUCAUUAAUAAAAUAAUUGUAUUUAGAAAUGGCACAACCAAGUUAAUUAUGAUGUUACCAUAUAGGGUUAAUACUUGAAAAAAAUAAAAUAAAAUGAUUAUGGGGCUGUCGAAGGAGCAUAGCAAGUGAUUGUUGCUCAAAUUUGUUUGUCCUUAUCUUUUAUCUGAAGCGGCGUAUAAAUCUGGAUUCUCUUACUAUUAUACCUUUGGGACAAAACUAUUGUUACUUCGUGGGUUCUUCAAAUUAAUAUUUCUUGCUUUUUAAAUCAUUUUUGGAUGCUGGUGAGGAAGAUGAUAGAGAGAAUGGAGUACCAAUAUUUCACUCUCUUUAUAAGAAGUAAUCACCUCACGGUAUGUUUAUUUAUCUAGCAUUUAUUUGUUUAUUUUCUUUCCUUUAAUCACAUAAUCGUUAUUGCACUUUAAUGGCUAAAAUAGAACAUUUUAAAAUUAUUUCUUUGGCUAAAAUAGAACAUUCUAUUUCUUUGGUGUUGUUGUAAUAGAAAAUGAUAAAUGACAUACAUACAUACACACACACGCACACACAUAUGAAAAUUUCUAAUUUGAGAAUUCAAGAUUAAAUUAAAGUCUGGGAAGAGUUGGUAGUGAUGUAAAUGGAUUUUUACGUUGUUUUAAAUAUGUCUUGAAUUUUAAUGAAGUCUGGGAUUCUCAUAUUGGAAGUUAAACUAUAUAUUUAUAAAAGUAUAUACAUUGUUUUUCUCUAAUAAAAUGGUUGAAUGACAUUUUUCUUAAAUAAUGUAUAAUUAAAAAAUUAAAAAUUUACUUUGGAGAUCAUUUAUGAAGAUAUACAAUAAUGAGUAUUUUAUUAUAACUAAAAGAAGAACGAAUGAGGUCCAUCGAAUUACUGUAAACAAGCAUUCACAUUUUGCAAAUAUAUGAGCAUCCUUAUUAGAGAAGAAUUUGGGUUGAGUGUGUGUGUGUGUGCGCGUAUAUAUAUAUAUAUAUAUAUAUAUCUGCAUGUUAAAAUCAUUUAGACAAAAAAAAAAAAAAUGAACUCCAAUACACUAGAAGGUAAAAAUAAUGCUUUUUGGUCAGUAUUUGUUUUUUGUCUUUUCGCUCAAUUUGUAUUUCAAAAUCAUUUAGAGGUCCGAACCUAAGCAAAACAUUGAGUUCUAAUAUUAGUCUGUAUUUGCAGAACCCAAUAACCAUUUUUUGUUUUGGUUGUAUUAAGUGGAAUGACUCCACUCCUAAUUGUUAAAUCCUAUUAUAUUUUAAAAACGAAAAGAAAGCAAACAAUUGUCACGAUUUUGGCCAACAUAUAAUAGUUGUUUCCCUUUCUCUUUGGUUUAGCGAAGAAUAUAAUAAGAAUAAAUAAUUAGAAGUGAGGUCAUUCCAUAUAAUGCAGUAAGAUUGCUAAUAUUUGAAGUCCUCAUUUUAUUUACGAAAAAAAGGAUCACUUAAUGGGAAGCUCACUAUAUAUAUAGUGAGAGAGAAAGAGAGAGAGAGUUAUUAUCUGGUGAGUUUCUCACACUUUAAUAAAGUAACGUAUGAGCUGAAAUACAAGAAAAGCACGUGUCAAUGCAUCAUAUUUUGUCUUGUAGUGUAUUUGAAUUUGUGUUUUUAUAUUUUUUAGAUUAUACCUUAUCAUAUUAAAGUAAAGGGAGCCCCUAAGUUACAUUUAAUGUAACUUACACCACUUACAUGAACAGUGCGUGGUGUGGGGCCUACGCACUGUUCAUGUGAGUGGAUGUAAGUUACAUUAAAUGUAACUUAACAUUUGCCUAAAGUAAAGGAUCAUCAUAAGAAGUGCAAUCUACACACGUGCGCGCAUGCAUGUACAUAGGGAAAUUUCCAAUUCUUGAUUCUCGAAUGAGCCACUAAUUGAAAUCCAAAGAUCCAAAACUUUCUUUUUUUUAAUAUUUUGUUGGCUCCAACACGUGCAACAACAUAUGCAGCCGAAUGAUAACCUUUGGAUUUAAAUAUUUUGUUCUUAGAUGCUUUUCCAACCUAGGAACAAAAUGGUGGUCUUUGAAUCCAAAGGUUAACACCAUGUGCAGCCAACCAAAUGGAAGAAAAAUGAAAAAAAGGGGUUUGGAAUCCAACGGUCCAUCCGGAAAUCCUUGAUCGAAAAAUUCCCCAUAUAGAUGUUACAAUCUGGGGAUCUUGGGUGUAUAUAUAUAAUCUGGGGAUCUUGGGUAUACAUAUAUAUAUAUCACGCCAAGGUGCGGACAUCUGCAUCAAUUUUCAUGCACAACCUUUUAUAGAGUUGUAAAAUAGUUUACAAUGUUAUUUAGUAUAAAGAUUUGCGUUUGCACAAAAUUUCAUGCUAUCAUCUAUGAUCACUCUGUAUUUAUAGUAUAAUGCCUGGAAUCAAGUGAGUAAGGUUCAUUUCAGUUGUUAUUAUUAGUGAUUAAUUUUUUUUUUAUAAUUAUGUGAAUUAUUAUUAUUACUCCUUGAAUUUUAAUUUUUGGGCCUAAGAGUUAAAGCUUUCUGCGCCUAGUGAUUUUAUUUUUUUGGGUAGUUCUAAAACCCAAUAAGAAUUAGGUCUUCUUUUAUUGUAAGGUGGUAGACUUUCUUUCUUACAAAAAUUAGUUUUAGAGACUGCUCACAGAAUGAAGAUUCUUGGAAAAUGUUAUGAGGGAAAGAGAGUAAAGAGGUAUUUUUUUUUAAUAUCUCAAUUUACUUGUUAAGUUUACUGUAAGGUGGCUAAACUUUCUUUCUCACAAAAAUAUGUCGUGGGAUAUAUCUAUGUUAUAGAAUGAACUUAUGAGAGGACGAUUUAGUUUGAUAAAGAUCAGUUUUGACUUAUUGUGUUCUUUUAAGAAACAGUAAGGAAUAAUUAAGUUUUUUCGAGGUUUUGUGUACAUAUGAUAGUGACCUACUCCAAAACGAUUUAAAAUAAUGCAUUUUUUUUAUUUUUGCAAAUAUGUAUGUUUUUGUACUGAAACUAGACAUUGUAAGGUCUCUUAGAAUUUUUUAAAUUCAAAUAUACUUAAAUUCGAAUUUUAAUGGAUUUUUGAAUCAUACAAUUGGAUAUUAAAAAUUUACGGUUUCUGUAAUGUUGCCAAAUGAUGAAAAACUUUUGACCAAUCAAACCUUCUUUAAAAAUCAUGAACUUUUGCAGAUGGACCUUUUUACACGGCAUAUUAGAUACUGAGGUCUUAGUUCCUCGUUUCUAGUUAAUAUGAAUUAACGAGUGAAAGGGACUUAAUUUGGGAUUUUUUUUAUGGCAUGAUUAAAUGGCCUAAAAAUCAAGUUUAUUUUUAAUAGAUUUUGAAUGCAAUUUGCCUUGAAAUUUUACUGUAUACCUUUAUGUGCCUAUAUGAUCCCUAUGAAAUUUCAUAAAUAUUGGAUAUUGAUUUUUUUUUCUUAUUAAAACAAUCUGAGAUUGAGGAUUGGUUAGUAACUUUUUCUGUUAUAAGGAGAAUGGAAAGCAAGAUUUGUGAUAUUACUUGAAAUUGUUUCUUAAAGACAUAGGAGCUGAGAAUUUUAUGUGAUAUUUUUAGUUGUAUCAUGAAUAUCAUCUAAGGUAUUAAACAAAAAUAAAUAAAUAAGUGCUAAGGGUGAUAAGCAUGUUGAAACAAGGAAAUUAUCUUGUAAAGUAAAUUUGGACUCGUUUAUCAUGAUUAAGACCCAUAGUGCUUAAUAGUUUAUUGUUACAUUUUCACAGGAGAUUAGUCUUUGAUGUUCAGUUAUGAUGAGUAUGUUUAUUGUUGUGACUGCCAAGAGUAAUCUUUGAUGUUCAAUUACGGUGACUAGGUUUAUUGUUGUGACUGCCAAGAAGUAAAUAAGCUAAACUUUUAACUACAUUCACUUUGAACAUGUGUGUGUGUGUGAGUGCUGUCUUAAAGAGGUUUUUUUUUUAAUGUUUAUUAUAAGAUUUGUGAUACAGAUAUGUGAUUAAGUGUUUGUUUUAUCCAUUAGAAUAGGCAUGUAUGAUGUUAUGUUAGGAAUUGCAUUCAAAGUAAUGUAUGAAGCAAUUUUUUCCGUACAAAAUAUCUUGUGUUCUAGGAUGCCCAACAUAUUCUUUUAAUUGUCCAUUUGUGUGUUUAUUUGGAGUGUUAGUUAUAAUUUAAUAAUCAAAAUGUAUGACAGUGAUAAUUUACAUUGAUUAUGAUAUAGUAGAGAUGGAUUUGUCAAAGCCAAAUCAUUUGAACCAAAACUCAAACUAAACCCAAAGUAAAUUAGGUGGAUUGUUUUUUGGUUUCGGUAGUAACAAGUGUAGGGUAGCUUGGAUUGAAACCCUGACGAAUUUGCCUAGAAUUUCUAAUAAUUAAGAUUUUUUUUUUGAAUUUUGAAACAUUUGAGUGACAAAAUACUAUGUGCAUAUUAUAAUUUUAUUAGUUAGUUGUACUACAAAGUAUAGAAGUUCUCAAUAUUUUGCACAAUUGCUAGACACCAUGCUUUUUAAUUUCCAAUUACAAAUUAUUCAAGCCGAAGAUGCCCAGCUGGCCAAGAUUAAUUCAAUGAAUUUGGAGAGCACAAAUCUCAAAAUUAUUGUACUAUUACCAUUUGAGUUGCCUGUCAAUUAAAUAAUAAUAGUGGUAACCUCACUUUUCAAUUACAAAUUACUAACACAAAACAAGUAAAUUUUAGCCACAAGCAUAAACCGGGUCUAUGCAAUUUCGGAAACCACUCAGAAACUUUAUUAUUACUCUUUUGUUGUUGUUGCAACUUGAUCAUCAUCAACUGCUCAGCUUAUUGUUGCAUACACUGCAAAUUCUUUGUUCAUGGGUUGUGUCUAAACAUGUCCAAAGAAAUCACCAUCAUCCUCUUCACAAACUACACACUCUUUUUGAAUACUUUGGCGAACAAUGAGUCCAAGACUUGUAAUGUCUGUGAUGAAUUAAUUGAAGGCAUCAGCUUACGCUGUAAUAAUGCUACAGAUUGUGAAUUUUAUUAUCAUGUUGCCUGUUGAUACCCCUACACAAGAAGCUUGAAACACAAGUCUCACUGAUGAUAAUGAUUUGGUAUAUUUAAUGAAGAACAAUGCGCUGUUUUAAGUGUUUCGAAUAUGCAAGCGCCACGAUUACUGUGAAGAUUCAUUCUGUAGGUUUAGUAAGUGUAAUUGGAAUGUUCGUAUUGAAUUUAUUCCUCUGCCGCUUGUUGUAAGACAUUAAAGUUACCAAUUGCAUCAUCUUAUGCUUACGGAUUGUGUAAAAGUUUAUGUGUGUAAACAGGAAGAACUCCUAAGGAUCAUGUUUAUCACCGUGGGGAAUGCGGCUUCCUUGCUCAUACUGAAUGCCCCUUAUGUGAGGUAAGUUAACUUUCACCUACAUUUUACCUCAUAAAUUAGGAAUUUAGUGAUUCAAAAUUGUGUUAUUGCUGAAUAUGUUCUGCUUGGCUCAAUAAUUGAAGUAAAUCUAUGAAUAUGUUGUAACAACGCAAGUUUUUAUUAUUGGUAACAAUUUUGUCAUUUACACUCCUCAAAUGUUGCGUAAGAUGACAGUUGUAACCAAAAAAAGAGAAAUUUAUCUUUAAUUAUAGAGCAAUGCUAACUAGCCAAAAUAACGGCAGAGGGAAGACAGAAACGGCAGCACAUGUUGCCGUUUCCUAUCCUCUCUCUCUUCUGUUAUGGGCCCACAAUAAAUUUAGAAAAAUGAAUAUAUAAUGGCGCACAUGCGUGAAUAAAGUGAAAACAUUUUUUUCUGUUAUUGGACAAGAGUUUUAACGCUCCAUAAUGAUUAAAGUGGGAGGCAAAAUCGAGUUAUUUACCACAACUAAUAUCUGCAUUUCUAGUCCUGCAUUUGAUCGAUUUCAAUAACAUAAAAAAAAGAAAAUCUACAAAAUCUCAAUCUCUUGGCUCUGUGUUGUGUCGAGGGCAAAGGAAAAUCUGCAAGGUUGGUUGGCCUGGUCAUGACAAAAGAAAACCUGCAAGGUUGCUGUGGGUAUAGCUUUUAUCACGGGAAAAAAAAAACGCAAACAAAUCGUUUGCUCGAUGUAAAAAUAGCUGGUUCUGUGUGAUGGUGGGUGUAACUUUUGUCAAUAAGAGAUGAGAUUGCAGCAGCUCUGAUAUCCUUCUUGGACUUCUCUUUUGUUUUGUUUUUUAAUUAAUAUUUACCUUUUUUAAAAGUAAUUGUGGGCCCAUGAAGAGGAAAUGAUAAGUGAACAAAACGACAGCAAGUGACUGUCAUUUUUGUCUUCCCUCUGUCAUGACUAUGUUCACUUAUCAUUUUCCUUAAUUAUAUAGGCAAAGAAAACUGUGCCUACAUGGGUUCUGUUUAAGGAUGGCAAAAACUAAGUCUAGGUUCAGCCUUUCUGGUUCCGGACUCAUAUGCCAAUUUGUCUUCUUGGAUAUGGAUUAGAACCCAGAUUUUUUAACUGCAGGUCCGAAGCGGGUUCAACUCGGAAAAAGUUUGGGUUCCCGGAUUCUGGAUCUUAAACCCGAGUUGUUUGGUGAAGGGAGGAAGAUGAAUUCUCCAAGCAUGCUACUUUUGGCUCUUUGGAAUUUGCAGAAAGAGUAAAAGGUAGAACAAAUUUAUGAGAUCUCAACUAAAUUUACUUACAUCAAUAAUAAACUUUACAAUUAUAUCAAUAUUCUGUGUUUGAAUUCUGUAUUUGGCUACUCACAACAACAAAAACUUCAAUAAUUACCGAAGCGCCGACAAAAAGAGGCUAGUGGUUUCUUUGAGAUAUCGACUGAGGCACUGGGGUGGCGGCUAGUGUGGGGCUUUAGGGUUUGUUCAGCGUUUUUGUUUUUGUUUUUGUUUUUGUUUUUUUGUAACUUUUUGCUUUAUAUUUAUAUUUUAUAAUAAAAAUUAAUUAAUUAAUAAAUCAUAAAAUUCGGGUCUGGUUUUCGGAUAUUCGGGUUUAGCUGAACCCAGAACUCAACCCGGAAACAUCCGAGUUUUAAAAAAGGCUUUCGGAUUUCGCAUUUUUAUACAUCUGGACCGGGUUGAACUCAGACCGAAUCAUUCGGGUUUGUUCGAGUCAGGUCUAGAAAAAUUUGCCAUCCCUAGUCAUGUUAAUAAGAGAAUAACAUCAAAGAAUAACAACAUAAAUGAAUUGCUGAAGCCUAGAGCUUUAUGAAGUGGGAAAAUGACAAGUGAACAUAGCCACGAUAGAGGGAAGAUAGAAACAGUAGCCACUUGUUGUCGUUUCGUUCACUUAUCGUUUCCUCUUCAUGGGCCUACAAUUAUUUUAAAAAAAGUAAAUAUUAAUUAAAAAAUAAAACAAAAGAGAAGCCCGAGAAGGAUAUCAUAGCUGCUGCAAUCUUAUUUCUUCUAUACUUUUUCUCUACUCUAUCUUUUAUUAACAAAAGCUAUACCUACCAUCACACAGAAUCAACUAUUUUUACAUCGAAGCAAAUGAUUUGUUGGUGGUUUUCUUUUGCCGUGACAAAACCUCGACAAUUUUCUUUUGCUGUGACCACGCCAACCAACCUUGCAGAUUUUCCCUUGCCCUCGGCACAACACAGAGCCAACAUAUUGCAGAUUUUUUAUUACAUUUUUUUUUAUGUUAUUGAAAUUUUGCAAAUGCAGGGCUGGAAAUGCAGAUAUCAAUUGUGGUAAACAAUUUGAUUUUGCCUCCCAUUUUAAUCAUUAUGGAGCGUUAAAACUCUUGUCCAAUAGUAAGAAAUUCUUUUUCACUUGCAUGUGCGCAAUUAUAUAUUCAUUUUUUUUUAAACUUACUGUGGGCUUAUAACAAAAGAAGAGGACAAGAAACGGCAUCACAUGUUACCGUUUAACAACUUUUGUGUUAAAAUAGUUUAACAACUUUUGUGUUAUUAGUUGUUUAAGUGCUGCACAGAUUGCUGCAUAAAGUAAUCAUCUCGAGACAUUAAGCUUGCUUUUUUAGACUUAAUAUUACAGUAGCCUUUUUCACACCUCUUCAAAAUUCUUAUAGAACUCUUUAUUAAUUGAAAGUAUUUAAAUAAUUAAAGAUAAUUUUUUUGUUGUUUUGGAAUGAAAAUCCAAUUAAACAGUUAAAUAAAUUAUUCUUACAACAAAUAUUUUAGGAAGAAGAACACAUAUGUUUCCAAGGUUUAGAGAUGCUCAUGUAAUAAUAGAAAUAGAAAUAGAAAUAUAAUAUUAAAAUAAAUGUAUUAAUAUAUAUGUUUCUGUUUAAGGAUGGCAAAAACUAAGUCUAGGUUCAGCCUUUCUGGUUCCGGACUCAUAUGCCAAUUUGUCUUCUUGGAUAUGGAUUAGAACCCAGAUUUUUUAACUGCAGGUCCGAAGCGGGUUCAACUCGGAAAAAGUUUGGGUUCCCGGAUUCUGGAUCUUAAACCCGAGUUGUUUGGUGAAGGGAGGAAGAUGAAUUCUCCAAGCAUGCUACUUUUGGCUCUUUGGAAUUUGCAGAAAGAGUAAAAGGUAGAACAAAUUUAUGAGAUCUCAACUAAAUUUACUUACAUCAAUAAUAAACUUUACAAUUAUAUCAAUAUUCUGUGUUUGAAUUCUGUAUUUGGCUACUCACAACAACAAAAACUUCAAUAAUUACCGAAGCGCCGACAAAAAGAGGCUAGUGGUUUCUUUGAGAUAUCGACUGAGGCACUGGGGUGGCGGCUAGUGUGGGGCUUUAGGGUUUGUUCAGCGUUUUUGUUUUUGUUUUUGUUUUUGUUUUUUUGUAACUUUUUGCUUUAUAUUUAUAUUUUAUAAUAAAAAUUAAUUAAUUAAUAAAUCAUAAAAUUCGGGUCUGGUUUUCGGAUAUUCGGGUUUAGCUGAACCCAGAACUCAACCCGGAAACAUCCGAGUUUUAAAAAAGGCUUUCGGAUUUCGCAUUUUUAUACAUCUGGACCGGGUUGAACUCAGACCGAAUCAUUCGGGUUUGUUCGAGUCAGGUCUAGAAAAAUUUGCCAUCCCUAGUCAUGUUAAUAAGAGAAUAACAUCAAAGAAUAACAACAUAAAUGAAUUGCUGAAGCCUAGAGCUUUAUGAAGUGGGAAAAUGACAAGUGAACAUAGCCACGAUAGAGGGAAGAUAGAAACAGUAGCCACUUGUUGUCGUUUCGUUCACUUAUCGUUUCCUCUUCAUGGGCCUACAAUUAUUUUAAAAAAAGUAAAUAUUAAUUAAAAAAUAAAACAAAAGAGAAGCCCGAGAAGGAUAUCAUAGCUGCUGCAAUCUUAUUUCUUCUAUACUUUUUCUCUACUCUAUCUUUUAUUAACAAAAGCUAUACCUACCAUCACACAGAAUCAACUAUUUUUACAUCGAAGCAAAUGAUUUGUUGGUGGUUUUCUUUUGCCGUGACAAAACCUCGACAAUUUUCUUUUGCUGUGACCACGCCAACCAACCUUGCAGAUUUUCCCUUGCCCUCGGCACAACACAGAGCCAACAUAUUGCAGAUUUUUUAUUACAUUUUUUUUUAUGUUAUUGAAAUUUUGCAAAUGCAGGGCUGGAAAUGCAGAUAUCAAUUGUGGUAAACAAUUUGAUUUUGCCUCCCAUUUUAAUCAUUAUGGAGCGUUAAAACUCUUGUCCAAUAGUAAGAAAUUCUUUUUCACUUGCAUGUGCGCAAUUAUAUAUUCAUUUUUUUUUAAACUUACUGUGGGCUUAUAACAAAAGAAGAGGACAAGAAACGGCAUCACAUGUUACCGUUUAACAACUUUUGUGUUAAAAUAGUUUAACAACUUUUGUGUUAUUAGUUGUUUAAGUGCUGCACAGAUUGCUGCAUAAAGUAAUCAUCUCGAGACAUUAAGCUUGCUUUUUUAGACUUAAUAUUACAGUAGCCUUUUUCACACCUCUUCAAAAUUCUUAUAGAACUCUUUAUUAAUUGAAAGUAUUUAAAUAAUUAAAGAUAAUUUUUUUGUUGUUUUGGAAUGAAAAUCCAAUUAAACAGUUAAAUAAAUUAUUCUUACAACAAAUAUUUUAGGAAGAAGAACACAUAUGUUUCCAAGGUUUAGAGAUGCUCAUGUAAUAAUAGAAAUAGAAAUAGAAAUAUAAUAUUAAAAUAAAUGUAUUAAUAUAUAUGUUUCUGUUUAAGGAUGGCAAAAACUAAGUCUAGGUUCAGCCUUUCUGGUUCCGGACUCAUAUGCCAAUUUGUCUUCUUGGAUAUGGAUUAGAACCCAGAUUUUUUAACUGCAGGUCCGAAGCGGGUUCAACUCGGAAAAAGUUUGGGUUCCCGGAUUCUGGAUCUUAAACCCGAGUUGUUUGGUGAAGGGAGGAAGAUGAAUUCUCCAAGCAUGCUACUUUUGGCUCUUUGGAAUUUGCAGAAAGAGUAAAAGGUAGAACAAAUUUAUGAGAUCUCAACUAAAUUUACUUACAUCAAUAAUAAACUUUACAAUUAUAUCAAUAUUCUGUGUUUGAAUUCUGUAUUUGGCUACUCACAACAACAAAAACUUCAAUAAUUACCGAAGCGCCGACAAAAAGAGGCUAGUGGUUUCUUUGAGAUAUCGACUGAGGCACUGGGGUGGCGGCUAGUGUGGGGCUUUAGGGUUUGUUCAGCGUUUUUGUUUUUGUUUUUGUUUUUGUUUUUUUGUAACUUUUUGCUUUAUAUUUAUAUUUUAUAAUAAAAAUUAAUUAAUUAAUAAAUCAUAAAAUUCGGGUCUGGUUUUCGGAUAUUCGGGUUUAGCUGAACCCAGAACUCAACCCGGAAACAUCCGAGUUUUAAAAAAGGCUUUCGGAUUUCGCAUUUUUAUACAUCUGGACCGGGUUGAACUCAGACCGAAUCAUUCGGGUUUGUUCGAGUCAGGUCUAGAAAAAUUUGCCAUCCCUAGUCAUGUUAAUAAGAGAAUAACAUCAAAGAAUAACAACAUAAAUGAAUUGCUGAAGCCUAGAGCUUUAUGAAGUGGGAAAAUGACAAGUGAACAUAGCCACGAUAGAGGGAAGAUAGAAACAGUAGCCACUUGUUGUCGUUUCGUUCACUUAUCGUUUCCUCUUCAUGGGCCUACAAUUAUUUUAAAAAAAGUAAAUAUUAAUUAAAAAAUAAAACAAAAGAGAAGCCCGAGAAGGAUAUCAUAGCUGCUGCAAUCUUAUUUCUUCUAUACUUUUUCUCUACUCUAUCUUUUAUUAACAAAAGCUAUACCUACCAUCACACAGAAUCAACUAUUUUUACAUCGAAGCAAAUGAUUUGUUGGUGGUUUUCUUUUGCCGUGACAAAACCUCGACAAUUUUCUUUUGCUGUGACCACGCCAACCAACCUUGCAGAUUUUCCCUUGCCCUCGGCACAACACAGAGCCAACAUAUUGCAGAUUUUUUAUUACAUUUUUUUUUAUGUUAUUGAAAUUUUGCAAAUGCAGGGCUGGAAAUGCAGAUAUCAAUUGUGGUAAACAAUUUGAUUUUGCCUCCCAUUUUAAUCAUUAUGGAGCGUUAAAACUCUUGUCCAAUAGUAAGAAAUUCUUUUUCACUUGCAUGUGCGCAAUUAUAUAUUCAUUUUUUUUUAAACUUACUGUGGGCUUAUAACAAAAGAAGAGGACAAGAAACGGCAUCACAUGUUACCGUUUAACAACUUUUGUGUUAAAAUAGUUUAACAACUUUUGUGUUAUUAGUUGUUUAAGUGCUGCACAGAUUGCUGCAUAAAGUAAUCAUCUCGAGACAUUAAGCUUGCUUUUUUAGACUUAAUAUUACAGUAGCCUUUUUCACACCUCUUCAAAAUUCUUAUAGAACUCUUUAUUAAUUGAAAGUAUUUAAAUAAUUAAAGAUAAUUUUUUUGUUGUUUUGGAAUGAAAAUCCAAUUAAACAGUUAAAUAAAUUAUUCUUACAACAAAUAUUUUAGGAAGAAGAACACAUAUGUUUCCAAGGUUUAGAGAUGCUCAUGUAAUAAUAGAAAUAGAAAUAGAAAUAUAAUAUUAAAAUAAAUGUAUUAAUAUAUAUGUUUCUGUUUAAGGAUGGCAAAAACUAAGUCUAGGUUCAGCCUUUCUGGUUCCGGACUCAUAUGCCAAUUUGUCUUCUUGGAUAUGGAUUAGAACCCAGAUUUUUUAACUGCAGGUCCGAAGCGGGUUCAACUCGGAAAAAGUUUGGGUUCCCGGAUUCUGGAUCUUAAACCCGAGUUGUUUGGUGAAGGGAGGAAGAUGAAUUCUCCAAGCAUGCUACUUUUGGCUCUUUGGAAUUUGCAGAAAGAGUAAAAGGUAGAACAAAUUUAUGAGAUCUCAACUAAAUUUACUUACAUCAAUAAUAAACUUUACAAUUAUAUCAAUAUUCUGUGUUUGAAUUCUGUAUUUGGCUACUCACAACAACAAAAACUUCAAUAAUUACCGAAGCGCCGACAAAAAGAGGCUAGUGGUUUCUUUGAGAUAUCGACUGAGGCACUGGGGUGGCGGCUAGUGUGGGGCUUUAGGGUUUGUUCAGCGUUUUUGUUUUUGUUUUUGUUUUUGUUUUUUUGUAACUUUUUGCUUUAUAUUUAUAUUUUAUAAUAAAAAUUAAUUAAUUAAUAAAUCAUAAAAUUCGGGUCUGGUUUUCGGAUAUUCGGGUUUAGCUGAACCCAGAACUCAACCCGGAAACAUCCGAGUUUUAAAAAAGGCUUUCGGAUUUCGCAUUUUUAUACAUCUGGACCGGGUUGAACUCAGACCGAAUCAUUCGGGUUUGUUCGAGUCAGGUCUAGAAAAAUUUGCCAUCCCUAGUCAUGUUAAUAAGAGAAUAACAUCAAAGAAUAACAACAUAAAUGAAUUGCUGAAGCCUAG